RNAcentral lists this ribosomal RNA (449 nucleotides) under uncultured bacterium. RNAcentral describes it as "bacterial SSU rRNA". It matches the Rfam family "Bacterial small subunit ribosomal RNA", at positions 354 to 796 of the family's 1533-position model. The record is from RNAcentral.
GUCGAGAAUCUUUCACAAUGGGGGAAACCCUGAUGGAGCGACGCCGCGUGGAGGAUAAGGUCUUCGGAUUGUAAACUCCUGUCAUGCGAGAGCAAGAUUGGUCAUUUAAUAGGUGAUUAAUUUGAUAGUAUCGCAAGAGGAAGAGACGGCUAACUCUGUGCCAGCAGCCGCGGUAAUACAGAGGUCUCAAGCGUUGUUCGGAAUCACUGGGCGUAAAGGGUGCGUAGGUGGCGUGGUAAGUCAGAUGUGAAAGCCCAGGGCUCAACCCUGGAAUUGCAUCCGAUACUGCCGUGCUAGAGAACUGAAGGGGAGUCUGGAAUUCUCGGUGUAGCAGUGAAAUGCGUAGAUAUCGAGAGGAACACCAAUGGCGAAGGCAAGACUCUGGGCAGUUUCUGACACUGAGGCACGAAGGCCAGGGUAGCGAACGGGAUUAGAAACCCCAGUAGUCC